AAUUAAAGCCACAAGGGUGGAGAAAAUCACUGAGUGCAGGGCACACACUGUGGCCCUGGGCCAACCAUCUGUUUUGUACAGGCCACCAGCUAAGAAUCAUUUUUACAUGUUUAAAUGAUUAGGGAAAAAUUCAAAAGAAGAAUAUUAUUUCCUGACGUGAAGAUUAUGUGAAAUUCAAAUUUUAUGUCUAUAAAUAAAGCUUUAUUGAAACAUGGCCACACUCUCUCAUUUGGUACCUUUCAGGCUAUGAUGGCAGAAUUUAGUUAUUGUGAUGAAGACACAGAGACUGUGUGGUCAGCAAAGCCUAAAAUAUUUACUCUAUGGUCCUUUACAGAAAGUUUGCUGACCUCUGACUUGGACAAAGACUAUAGAAUUAGAAGUAAAGAGGGCCUCAGGCCACCUUGUGUUAAACGUUCAAAUCAGUGGUUUAUUAAAAGACAAUGAACUGACAAAGGAAACUAAGAAGUUGCCAGAGAGGACAGCCAGAGAGUGUGGUAGCACUUGGCUGGAGGGUGACCACUUGAUUUAUCAUUAAUGUCCUUAGGAAAUCAGUUUGAAAGAAAAAGUGAAGGGAGGAUUAGUGGCAGGAUCCAGAUGAGGUAGGUUGAGGGGAGUGGCAUGAGAGGAAUUGGAGAUGGCAACUGUUGACAGCUCUUCCAACAACUUCAGCUGGAUGGGAGAAAUGGGAUGGCUGUAUCAGGAGUGGCAAGAAGGCUUGGACAAGCUCUUAUUUAUUUUUUAUUUUCUUCAUUUUUGUUUGUCUUAAGGUGGAAGAGACUUGAGUAUAUUUAAAUGUGAAAUGAAAGAAGCCAUUAAAAUGUGGGGGAAAUUGUGACCACAGAUUUUAAUGAAGUGUCUCCACUGAACGUCUGAAGCUAGAAGAUCUCCCGUGCAGGCAGGGACAGUCUGGAGUCUGGAUAUUCCCCUAGAUUGACCUCAGGCCGAACCCCCUGAUGGAAGUGACACUGACCUAGGGAUUGGGGGAUUUAGUUCUCAUCCCAGCUUUGUCAUUAACCAGCUGUGUAUCCUUGGGCAUCAUUGAACAUCUCCCAGGCUCAACUUUCAAAUGACCUUUUCCAUCAAGAGGUAGAGGGUGUUUUUCCAGCCCUGGAAUCUGGCCUUGGCCAUGUGCCUGGCUUUGGCCAAAGGGACAUUAGCAAAUGUGACAAAACCAGAGACUUCAAAAUCACUUGUCGAUCAGCGAUCAGCGUUUGCCCUCCCCUUCAGGCUGCCAAGUGAAGCAGCCUGGUGAGCUCACUGGGGAAUGAGGCACCACGCGGGGAGAAGACCCGGUCCGGCAAGGGAUCCCGUCCAAGCUGAUCCAGCCCUCGUGUCGCUGGCCCUGCCCCGAAGAACAAGAUGAGGAGAACCUUUCUUCAAGCCACUAUGUUUUGGAAGUUCUUUUCCUCCCUGCAAAACCUUAACUGAUGUUUUUUAAAAGUAGAUAUGAGGUGCAAAUGGUAGGGAAUUAAUGAGGGCCAGGUCAACAAGAUAGUCAAUUCCAUUUCCAGUUUUUCUCUCUGACCCAAGCCUUCAUCUACAUCAGUGUUGCCUCUCUGGCUACACAGUAGAAUCGUCUGUAGAAUUUUUAAAAAGUGCCAAUGACUGUGCCCCGUCUCCCAGGUAUUACGAACUAACUGGACGGGCGUGAGGCCCAGGCAUGGGGAUUUUUAAAAUGCUCUACACAAUCAUAAUGUGUGGCCAGGGCUGAGAACACCUGCUCUACACUGAGCAUUUUACUGAGCCUCGCUUCAGAGGGAUAAUACUUUCUAGUUUCUAAUACACCAAGUAUUGUGCCUCAGUAAGGAGAGGUUUUAGUUUUUCAUCAAAUAAAGUAACUUUAAGUUUUAGAGAUUUUAAAAGUACAGAAAAGUUCAAAGAAGAAACAGUAGUUUAUUUCCAACUCCUCUAAAUGAGCUAGUGUUAAGCAUCUAGGCACCUUUACCUUGUGAAUCUUUACUUUUUCCCUCUUAAAAAUAUUUUUCUAUGAUUUGUGAAAAAUUGAACACUGGUUAUUAGAAUGGAUUCAAAUAAUGCAUAAAAAUACAAAGAACAAAAAGGAAAGUUAGAAAAACAUCCAAAACACUACAAACCUUACACCUACAAAGAACAAUCGUUAAGAAAACAUUAGUUCGUAAAGCAUCUUUUUGUAGAAAUGAAUAUUCCAUGUCACCUUAAGACUCCAACAUACCUAUUAACUACUUAACUAACCUAUACUGAAUCCAGAUUGCAAAUAGCCUUUCACAAGUGGCCUUUAGCAUUUAGAGAUGUGGAUUGGGUUUCCUUAAAUGAGUUUCCCUUAUGCACAUUUCUACCACUUUUGUGUGUUUAUCAGCUCAAACAACUGUUUCCUUAGGACUUCAGUUUUAUUAGAUUCCAGAAACGUGAGAAAUUCUGUUAUCUGCAGCACAUGAAAACCAAGUAGUAAGCUGUCUGUGUGAUCUACUUUUCUAGAUUUGUUCACAGCUUGAGUCAAGUAUUUGUAUUUCAAGUGGCAAUUCCUAGAUUUUACCUUACUGUUUCAAAUAAAAGUAUUUACUGUACUGAUUUCUCACUCUAUUACACAGAAACGGAUUU
Equus quagga is the source of this 2577-nucleotide long non-coding RNA. RefSeq lists it as uncharacterized. The record is from RefSeq and is a predicted model, not a curated record. NCBI's taxonomy places the organism in Eukaryota, Metazoa, Chordata, Mammalia, Perissodactyla, Equidae. The transcript is spliced from 4 exons.